RNAcentral lists this ribosomal RNA (1087 nucleotides) under Bacillus aerophilus. RNAcentral describes it as "bacterial SSU rRNA". It matches the Rfam family "Bacterial small subunit ribosomal RNA", at positions 47 to 1113 of the family's 1533-position model. Lineage: Bacteria; Bacillati; Bacillota; Bacilli; Caryophanales; Bacillaceae. The record is from RNAcentral.
CCCUAAUACAUGCAAGUCGAGCGGACAGAAGGGAGCUUGCUCCCGGAUGUUAGCGGCGGACGGGUGAGUAACACGUGGGUAACCUGCCUGUAAGACUGGGAUAACUCCGGGAAACCGGAGCUAAUACCGGAUAGUUCCUUGAACCGCAUGGUUCAAGGAUGAAAGACGGUUUCGGCUGUCACUUACAGAUGGACCCGCGGCGCAUUAGCUAGUUGGUGAGGUAACGGCUCACCAAGGCGACGAUGCGUAGCCGACCUGAGAGGGUGAUCGGCCACACUGGGACUGAGACACGGCCCAGACUCCUACGGGAGGCAGCAGUAGGGAAUCUUCCGCAAUGGACGAAAGUCUGACGGAGCAACGCCGCGUGAGUGAUGAAGGUUUUCGGAUCGUAAAGCUCUGUUGUUAGGGAAGAACAAGUGCAAGAGUAACUGCUUGCACCUUGACGGUACCUAACCAGAAAGCCACGGCUAACUACGUGCCAGCAGCCGCGGUAAUACGUAGGUGGCAAGCGUUGUCCGGAAUUAUUGGGCGUAAAGGGCUCGCAGGCGGUUUCUUAAGUCUGAUGUGAAAGCCCCCGGCUCAACCGGGGAGGGUCAUUGGAAACUGGGAAACUUGAGUGCAGAAGAGGAGAGUGGAAUUCCACGUGUAGCGGUGAAAUGCGUAGAGAUGUGGAGGAACACCAGUGGCGAAGGCGACUCUCUGGUCUGUAACUGACGCUGAGGAGCGAAAGCGUGGGGAGCGAACAGGAUUAGAUACCCUGGUAGUCCACGCCGUAAACGAUGAGUGCUAAGUGUUAGGGGUUUCCGCCCCUUAGUGCUGCAGCUAACGCAUUAAGCACUCCGCCUGGGGAGUACGGUCGCAAGACUGAAACUCAAAAGGAAUUUGACGGGGGCCCGCACAAGCGGUGGAGCAUGUGGUUUAAUUUCGAAGCAACGCGGAGAACCUUACCAGUCGUGACAUCCUCUGACAACCCUAGAGAUAGGCUUUUCCUUCGGGACAGAGUGACAGUGUGCAUGGCUGUCGUCAGCUCGUGUCCUGAGAAUGUUGGGUUUAAAGUUCCCGCAACCAGCGGCAAACCCUUGAAUCC